GUGAAUCAUCGAAUCUUUGAACGCAAAUUGCACUCUCCGGUUUUCCGGGAGAGUAUGCCUGUUUGAGGGUCUGUUUAAAAAAUAAUCGAGGCUGCUGCUGUGGCGGCGCUUCGGAAUUGGGCCAUCUUCUACCUUUCGGGGUUGUAAGCGACUUAAAACUUUUUUUACGAGUUCUAUGAACGUGUUC
This 187-nucleotide unclassified non-coding RNA is filed under the name Glomus sp. RNAcentral describes it as "partial contains 5.8S ribosomal RNA and internal transcribed spacer 2". The stretch from base 1 to 72 matches the Rfam family "5.8S ribosomal RNA", at positions 84 to 154 of the family's 154-position model. The record is from RNAcentral. Lineage: Eukaryota; Fungi; Glomeromycota; Glomeromycetes; Glomerales; Glomeraceae.